GAGAUCGUACUUCUAGGGAUCAGUCCUAUAGUACGUAUCACCAGGACGACAAACAAACUUGACCCUGGCUAGCCAACCGUGAUGAUGAUCUGUGCGGCCUAGUCCCAAGCGUGAAGCGGGUGUGUGGCUGUCCGUCUGGCUGAAUGCUUAUAGCCUAAGUAAGUGUGGGCUCGGCCGCCUCCUUGUUCGAU
RNAcentral lists this small nucleolar RNA (191 nucleotides) under Trichobilharzia regenti. Its description in RNAcentral is "Small nucleolar RNA U3". It matches the Rfam family "Small nucleolar RNA U3". Rfam says of the family: Small nucleolar RNAs (snoRNAs) are involved in the processing and modification of rRNA in the nucleolus. Lineage: Eukaryota; Metazoa; Platyhelminthes; Trematoda; Strigeidida; Schistosomatidae. The record is from Rfam by way of RNAcentral.